GUGCUAGGGACUGAAGCCAGAACCUUCCUCAUGCAAAGCGAACAUUCCACUAUUCACUUACAUCCC
This 66-nucleotide transfer RNA is filed under the name Mus musculus (house mouse). Its description in RNAcentral is "tRNA-Ala". The record is from RNAcentral. Lineage: Eukaryota; Metazoa; Chordata; Mammalia; Rodentia; Muridae.